Molecule: ribosomal RNA, 253 nt
Filed under: uncultured bacterium
Lineage: Bacteria
Description: partial 16S ribosomal RNA
Rfam family: Bacterial small subunit ribosomal RNA
Source: RNAcentral
UACGUAGGGUGCAGGCGUUAAUCGGAAUUACUGGGCGUAAAGCGUGCGCAGGCGGUUCGUUGUGUCGGUGGUGAAAUCCCCGGGCUUAACCUGGGAAUGGCCAUGGAAACUGGCGAACUGGAGUGUGGCAGAGGGGGGUGGAAUUCCGCGUGUAGCAGUGAAAUGCGUAGAGAUGCGGAGGAACACCGAUGGCGAAGGCAGCCCCCUGGGCUAGCACUGACGCUCAUGCACGAAAGCGUGGGGAGCAAACAGG